GAAAUAAAUAGGUCUACUCUAGGGUUGCAUUACAUCACUUAGAAGAAUAGUGGUUUUCAGGUAUUUAAUGUAUUCCCCAGAGCCGAGGGGACGGCGAUCGUGCAGGCAAGGUAGCCCGUCAUGAGAAGAAGGAGGCUUUGGUCCUCUUCACGCCAGCCACGCGUCAAGGGCCUGCCUUCCCUUGCUCGCGCUUAUGUUCCGCUGCGGGUCCCCACUCCUGCCUGUUCUUUCUCAUAAAAACCAGGAGCUGAAAGGGACCUCAAAGAUCAUUUUUAAGUUUGAUGGAUGGGGAAACUGAGGCCUGGAGAGGUCAUGCAACCUGCUCGAAGUCACACAGCUGUUUAAGGGAGGCUGGACCUGAGCUCCAGGGCUUUGAACUCAUCUAUCUGGCUUGAAAAGGGGCAGUGGCAGUAGAAAUGUUAGAUCCCAUAUUGUAUUUUAUAACAGCAAGAGUUUCCUUUAAGAUUUUUCUCCCUUGCUUUAAAAAUGUGUGUGUGUGUGUGUGUGUGUGUGUGUGUGUGUGUGUGUGUUUUAACUUUCCCAGUUCUCCCAUUUCUUACAUGGAAGACUAAUCUGACAUCUUGUGCAGAGAAUUGACUGUUUCCUGCAAAAUAAACAGAGGAAAGCAAGUAGCUGAAGUAUUUAGGGACACUCAAGGGUCCUUAGUGCUCGAAGCUUCCAACAGCUCAGUAACCGCGCUUGUCCUGAUUGGCAAGGGAGAGGAAGAGACGAGAAGAAGCCGUGUUCAGAGGCCUGGGCAUGGUCGGAGGAGCAGUGUUGCAGUGAGUGAGUGAUAGGUCUAUUUUUUCAGAAAAUACAAAAAUGCAGAAUCACCAUCCCUAAGCUCAGAGAACCUGGCAGUCAACAAGACUUAUUUCUAAGGCUCCAAGUAAAAUGUCAACAAGGCAUUUCGUGUCACCUCGGAGAUCCCAGAGGACAAGCCAUGCAUCUCUUACGCUCCACAGCAACCCACGGGGACUUGGGCUGCAGUCUCUUGGUGGGAAGAUGUAGCCCAGUGCAGGAAUGCCGGUGUGUAUAUGCCUGCUUUGAGGAAGCAGGAGUCGCGAAGGAAAUCGCGGGGUGGGGGGUGGCAGGACCUCAGGAUACCGGAGGGGUGACCUCAGCUUGUAAAUGUCUAGAUGUUGGGGGCCCAUGUGUAGGAAGUUUAAAAAGACUGAACCAGACACAAUAGAGGUGCUGCAGUCUAACUUUGCCUUUGACCCUAUCGCCUUUCCGUUUUCACUUUCCCCCUUCUUACUACCCUUCUCACCCCCCAAACCCUAACCUUGCCUUUGACCCUAUCGCCUUUCCGUUUUCACUUUCCCCCUUCUUACCCCCCAAACCCUAACUAACCCAUGAUUGCAAAGCUUGUGAAAACAUCUAUGAAGAGCACCAUUCAGACAGGAUCGGGAUCGUACCAGUGAUCCUGAGCCACACUCCAGUUGUGAGUUUCAGAGGCGUUAAAGAUGACAACUGCUGCCUGAGCAAGGCACAGAGACACAUGUUCCUCCUCGCCCCGUCAGACUCCAAUCCUGCUGCUUUCCACCCAGAGAUAGCCUUGUCUUCAGACGCGUAUUGAUGCGCAUGGGGGUGCUCCUGGGAAAGACACAUCUCAGGACACUGAGUGGAGUGUUACGAUGAGGCGGCGUUAGAAAGUGAGAAAGACAGGAGGCGUGAUCCAGGGCCAGGAGAAGAAGCCAAGGGGAGCUGGAUACGAACAUCUAUGAUUCAGAGAGUGUGGUCAUGUUCAGAGUCAGCCAACGAGGUGAAAGACACAGCACGGAAAAUUCCUGCCAAGCCUGCCAAGCAUUUAUGACACCAGCCUCAAGUUGGGGGGCCCGCGGCUACCCCUCACUUCAGACCGGCUGGCUACAAAUUUGGGGGUCCCCACAGAAUCCCCGAGGUUUGUUAAUUCACGAGGACUACCCACAGAAUUCAGGGAAGUGCUAUGCUUAUAAGUGUAGUAUUAUUAUCGCAAAAGGAUACAAAUCAUUACCAGUUGAAAGAAUAGUUGCCCAUUCAGAACCCGGGACUGGGAAGGUUCCGAAUGUGAAGCUUCCGCAUCCUCAGGGACACGGCGUCUUCCUGGCAUCAAUGUGUGGCGAUAUGCAAAGAACUGUCAACCCAGGAAGCUCA
This is a long non-coding RNA of Felis catus (domestic cat), 2136 nucleotides long. RefSeq lists it as uncharacterized. The record is from RefSeq and is a predicted model, not a curated record. The transcript has 2 exons. Lineage: Eukaryota; Metazoa; Chordata; Mammalia; Carnivora; Felidae.